UAUAAGUUUGGUUCUGGCUUUAAUUAAGUCUGUACUGACAAAACACAUGAAAGUUGUAGCAGCAAUUCUAAAUGAACUUAAAGGGAAAGAUCAAAUAAUCAUGACCUUUCAUAAUUUCAGUGUAAAAUAUUGGGCCAUUUACGUCAGUAAGACCUAGUAAUCAGUAAUUAGGGCUGACCAAGUCCGUGCCAGCAGUAGCGGUUAAACGAGUAAACCCUAGACUUGACCUUCGGUAUAAAAGAUGGUUACAUUUUUAUUUGGGAAACAAAAGAUAUUUUUACAGUGAAAUGAUUAAAUUAUCUUCUACUACUUUCCCUAGCUAUAGAAACCAUGAAACUUUUAAGGAAAACUGGGAUUAGAGACCCCACUAUUCAAAAGCUUAAACAAAUAGCUACCAGGGUAUUACGAACUAUGUUUAAAACCCAAAGAACCUGGCGGCCUUUAACAGUACUAGGGGAACCUGUGUGGUAAUCGAUACUCCACGUUAAUCUUCACCUUUUCUUGAAAUUCUCAGCCUGUAUACCUCCGUCAUAACUCACCUUUAAGAGUUUACUAGUGAGUAAAAAGUGCUUCACCACUGUAUGGCAGGUCAAGGUGCAGCCUAUGAAAAGGGGCACCAUGGGUGACAAUUUGGUAAAAGAUAAUGAAUUUUCUUAGGAAAUUAAGAAAUGAAAAAGGACUUAGUAGUAAGGAAUUCUUUAAAAUAAAUUCCUGAAAAACUCCCUAGAAGGUGCACAAAUCGCCCGUCACUCUCAUCGAAAGACGAGAUAAGUCGUAACAAAGUAGGUGUACCGGAAGGUGUACCUGAA
RNAcentral lists this non-coding RNA (809 nucleotides) under Pectinatella magnifica. RNAcentral describes it as "12S ribosomal RNA". It matches the Rfam family "Microsporidia small subunit ribosomal RNA". Lineage: Eukaryota; Metazoa; Bryozoa; Phylactolaemata; Pectinatellidae. The record is from RNAcentral.